This 337-nucleotide unclassified non-coding RNA is filed under the name soil metagenome. RNAcentral's name for it is "partial contains 5.8S ribosomal RNA, internal transcribed spacer 2, and large subunit ribosomal RNA". The stretch from base 1 to 120 matches the Rfam family "5.8S ribosomal RNA", at positions 35 to 154 of the family's 154-position model. The record is from RNAcentral.
GAUGAAGAACGCAGCGAAAUGCGAUAAGUAAUGUGAAUUGCAGAAUUCCGUGAAUCAUCGAAUCUUUGAACGCACAUUGCGCCCCCUGGCAUUCCGGGGGGCAUGCCUGUCCGAGCGUCAUUUCUGCCCUCAAGCACGGUUUGUGUGUUGGGUGUGGUCCCCCCGGGGACCUGCCCGAAAGGCAGCGGCGACGUCCGUCUGGUCCUCGAGCGUAUGGGGCUCUGUCACUCGCUCGGGAAGGACCUGCGGGGGUUGGUCACCACUAUAUUUUACCACGGUUGACCUCGGAUCAGGUAGGAGUUACCCGCUGAACUUAAGCAUAUCAAUAAGCGGAGGA